This 337-nucleotide ribosomal RNA is filed under the name uncultured bacterium. RNAcentral's name for it is "bacterial SSU rRNA". It matches the Rfam family "Bacterial small subunit ribosomal RNA", at positions 43 to 366 of the family's 1533-position model. The record is from RNAcentral.
GAAUUCACUAGUGAUUCAGGCCUAACACAUGCAAGUCGAGCGGUAGAGAGAAGCUUGCUUCUCUUGAGAGCGGCGGACGGGUGAGUAAUGCCUAGGAAUCUGCCUGGUAGUGGGGGAUAACGUUCGGAAACGGACGCUAAUACCGCAUAUGUCCUACGGGAGAAAGCAGGGGACCUUCGGGCCUUGCGCUAUCAGAUGAGCCUAGGUCGGAUUAGCUAGUUGGUGAGGUAAUGGCUCACCAAGGCAACGAUCCGUAACUGGUCUGAGAGGAUGAUCAGUCACACUGGAACUGAGACACGGUCCAGACUCCUACGGGAGGCAGCAGUGGGGAAUAUUG